AUACUCUGGAGAUGCACAGUAGCGCAGCGUGAACAGGAAGUAAGAGUGAGCGUGCAGGCUUUGCUUUGAGCCCACUGGGGUGGCGGAGUGACGAGUGGGCUCCACUUUCCUGUUGUAACCUGCCUGGGCUAUCACAACACUUACACGCAACAGUUUACUCCAACGUGAUUCACCUUGAGGUAAGACAAACUUUAUAUAUCUUUUGUUGUUUUUUUUUUUUUUUAGAGGAAUGCAAGAGACAGACCUAUCUUCAUAUCUGGUCCUUGAUUCCAGUGUAGACUCCUGGACAUAGUAAUCCUAUCCUACAGUAGAUGUAACUCUUUGCUACCAAUCGAUUACAUUAAACAUUAUUUUAACUUCUAGUGAGAAUAAAUAAUCAGCAUAAAAAGUAAUCUACCUUCUGAAUUCGACAGUAGUAGUGUCACCAGGCUCUGUAAGGUGAGUGGAUUACAGGAGGAACUUGCGAUAAAACUUUGCGAUAAAAAUACAUUUACGUGUUGGUUUUCAGAUUAAUCAUGCUUGUCAUCGCAUUAACAUUAACAGCUCUGAUAGAACCCCAUAUCUAAUAAAGUGUGAGGAACCUUUACACAUCUCCAACUAUUUUAAAAAUCAUUACUUAAGAUAAGAUAAGAUCAAAUAAGAUAAAACUAUAUUGAUCCCCCAAGGGGGAAAUGAACUUGUUACAGCAGCAGGACCAAAUCAAACUCAAAGUGCAUACCCAGUAACUAAAAAAAGUAAACUUUUAUUUUAAUAAAAAGACAAAGGGCAAAUUGUGCAAGCAGAGGGAAACAUACCAAUAACUAACAUAAUUUAAAACAGACAACAGCAAUCUGAAUAAUAAUAUACAUAAGAACCAAGUGGAAAAUAUAAAAUUAAAUGUAUUACUGUAGGCUAUUAUUGUACAGUCUCACUGCUGAUGGGAGAAAUGACCACAAGGAAGGAACCACAAUUGGCUGAAGUAACUAUUUGUUGCACCUUUAUUUGGAAAACGUCAUGUUGGAUAUUCCCCCAUUCUCAUUUUACCGUGUGUUUGGAUUGUACUGUGCUGUACUGGGCACUGUAAUCCUGAUUAUUAGAAGGGAUUAUUUAGCAAGUUUAACGAUUUAUGCAAAUGUUUCACCUUUCUCACAUAUAUUCCUACUUAUCUCUCUUUCCUCUGUUUUAACUUGUUUCUAUUCAGAAGAAAGAGUGAUGAAAGGACCAGAGCUAAAGGAUUCCACAGGCCGCUUUCGAUUUGCUCAGUCAUGUCUGGGCCUGGCGGGCUGCUUGUGUAUCAGCUAUGCUGUUUGGACGCCUCAUUGGCUGGAUGAGAGGGGCCUGUGGGUGAACGGGAACGAGUCGAGUCCAGACGACAGCUGGACACAGGGACAGGGCAUUGAAGGUCUGGGGGCUCAGAGGGUGUUUUCUGCUCUAUCGUUCAUCAUGGCUGUGAGCUCGGGAGUUCUGUGCCUGGUCUUCGCUUUCUGCUGGACGUCCCGGACCGUGCGCUCUUAUUCCAACACACGCUCUCUACUGAUGGCAGGCCAGGCACUCUACCCCACCAUGCUGCUACUCAUCACACUGGUGCCUACUGGGUUCUUCUUUCUUCUCAGCUGGGCACUCUUCACCAAUCAGCACAUCGCUGAAAUCAGAGUCGACAUCACGCGCCUGGGGUUCUCCUAUUGGACGGGCAUGGUGGGCUGGGCUUUGCUGUUAGCUGUGCUGCCGGUGGUGUUCCUGGUGGAGCAGUUUGUGGUGCCGGACGUGCUGCCGGAGCUGAUGAGGCAGGCCGAGACGUGGUGGAAGGCCCCUGAGGUGGCUUACGCUCGCUCGUUUAGCGAGAGCUUCUACAACCACAGGGGGCCGAAACUUGACAAGGAGUUCAAUAGGUACCUGUCAGUGCCCUGAGAAGGAGUGUAGCGGCACAGGCCUUGUGUCAAAUCCUGCUAUUGACUCAAUACCUGCACCUACUGCUCCUAACAGCCGAACAUAAGGCCUGAGCUCCGGUGGAAGGCUUGCAGAAGCUCGGAAGGUCGCGGAUGUGGAUACUGCACUUUAGCCGAGAGCUGUUGAGGCCUGCCAGAGCCUGAUGAGCAAAGGAAUGGCCUUGAUUUGGGCCUAUGAACUGAUAUUAAAGCCUGCUGAAAAAAUACUAAAUGUUUCCCACUUUCAGAAAGCUGUGUAAACACUACCUGCAUAAUGGCAAGACUACUGUUUACUGUUACUGAUGUACACUGGAUCACUUUCAGGCUGCAUUUAGAAUUUAAUGCAGUACUUAUUUAGAUUUUAUGAACAAUAUGACGACAUCUUAAUACAAUUCUAGACUAAGGAAUGGAGUGAACAAAAUUCAUGUCAGGCAGAGGACGAUCAUCAUGUAUUCAUGUUGUAACAGCUCCCUCGUGUGGUUAUGCCAUGUUACUACAUUGUUCAAGUUACUACUCGGUAUUACAAGUCAAGGUGCUUGUAGUCACAUAUCUCAUAUCUGAUCAGCCCAGGUUGAGCUUGUUUUUGUUUGGCAUGUUGUUGUCAUUACAAAUAAAUAAAAAGGUAAAUAAAUAAAUAACCA
RNAcentral lists this long non-coding RNA (2545 nucleotides) under Astyanax mexicanus (Mexican tetra). RNAcentral's name for it is "lncRNA (ENSAMXG00005020347.1)". Lineage: Eukaryota; Metazoa; Chordata; Actinopteri; Characiformes; Acestrorhamphidae. The record is from RNAcentral.